This 22-nucleotide microRNA is filed under the name Oreochromis niloticus (Nile tilapia). RNAcentral's name for it is "oni-miR-10843". Lineage: Eukaryota; Metazoa; Chordata; Actinopteri; Cichliformes; Cichlidae. The record is from miRBase by way of RNAcentral.
UUUCCCGAAGACAGAAGUAAAU